AUCCCAUAGCAUAAGCUAGUAAGACCCCUUAAAGACGAUAAGGUUGAUAGGUGGGAGGUGGAAGCGUAGUAAUACGUGCAGCUGACCCAUACUAAUAGGUCGAGGGCUUAACCAA
Molecule: ribosomal RNA, 115 nt
Filed under: Lachnospiraceae bacterium
Lineage: Bacteria; Bacillati; Bacillota; Clostridia; Lachnospirales; Lachnospiraceae
Description: partial 23S ribosomal RNA
Rfam family: Bacterial large subunit ribosomal RNA
Source: RNAcentral